RNAcentral lists this ribosomal RNA (374 nucleotides) under uncultured bacterium. RNAcentral's name for it is "bacterial SSU rRNA". It matches the Rfam family "Bacterial small subunit ribosomal RNA", at positions 524 to 898 of the family's 1533-position model. The record is from RNAcentral.
UACAGAGGGUGCGAGCGUUAAUCGGAGUUACUGGGCGUAAAGGGCGCGUAGGCGGCGUGACGAGUGUGAUGUGAAAGCCCCGGGCUUAACCUGGGAAGUGCAUCGCAAACGGUCAUGCUGGAGUAUGUGAGAGGGUGGCGGAAUUUCCGGUGUAGCGGUGAAAUGCGUAGAGAUCGGAAGGAACGUCAAUGGCGAAGGCAGCCACCUGGCACAAUACUGACGCUGAGGCGCGAAAGCGUGGGGAGCGAACAGGAUUAGAUACCCUGGUAGUCCACGCUGUAAACGAUGAGAACUAGAUGUUGGCUGGGGAACCAGUCAGUAUCGAAGCUAACGCGAUAAGUUCUCCGCCUGGGAAGUACGGCCGCAAGGUUGAA